AUUGAACGCUGGCGGAAUGCUUUACACAUGCAAGUCGAACGGCAGCACGGACUUCGGUCUGGUGGCGAGUGGCGAACGGGUGAGUAAUGUAUCGGAACGUGCCCAGUCGUGGGGGAUAACGUAGUGAAAAUUACGCUAAUACCGCAUACGAUCUAUGGAUGAAAGCGGGGGAUCGCAAGACCUCGCGCGAUUGGAGCGGCCGAUAUCAGAUUAGGUAGUUGGUGGGGUAAAGGCCCACCAAGCCAACGGUCUGUAGCUGGUCUGAGAGGACGACCAGCCACACUGGAACUGAGACACGGUCCAGACUCCUACGGGAGGCAGCAGUGGGGAAUUUUGGACAAUGGGCGAAAGCCUGAUCCAGCCAUUCCGCGUGCAGGAUGAAGGCCCUCGGGUUGUAAACUGCUUUUGUACAGAACGAAAAGGUUUCUACUAAUACUAGGAGCUCAUGACGGUACUGUAAGAACAAGCACCGGCUAACUACGUGCCAGCCGCCGCGGUAA
This 500-nucleotide ribosomal RNA is filed under the name uncultured bacterium. RNAcentral describes it as "partial 16S ribosomal RNA". It matches the Rfam family "Bacterial small subunit ribosomal RNA", at positions 30 to 523 of the family's 1533-position model. The record is from RNAcentral.